UCCCGUGAGGUCUAGCGGUCAGGAUUCCUAGCUCUCACCCAGGCGGCCCGGGUUCGACUCCAGGCAUUGGAA
This 72-nucleotide transfer RNA is filed under the name Araneus ventricosus. It matches the Rfam family "tRNA". From Rfam's summary of the family: Transfer RNA (tRNA) molecules are approximately 80 nucleotides in length. Their secondary structure includes four short double-helical elements and three loops (D, anti-codon, and T loops). The record is from Rfam by way of RNAcentral. Lineage: Eukaryota; Metazoa; Arthropoda; Arachnida; Araneae; Araneidae.